AGUGAACGCUGGCGGUAGGCCUAACACAUGCAAGUCGAACGGCAGCACAGUAAGAGCUUGCUCUUACGGGUGGCGAGUGGCGGACGGGUGAGGAAUACAUCGGAAUCUACUUUUUCGUGGGGGAUAACGUAGGGAAACUUACGCUAAUACCGCAUACGACCUACGGGUGAAAGCAGGGGAUCUUCGGACCUUGCGCGAUUGAAUGAGCCGAUGUCGGAUUAGCUAGUUGGCGGGGUAAAGGCCCACCAAGGCGACGAUCCGUAGCUGGUCUGAGAGGAUGAUCAGGCACACUGGAACUGGGACACGGGCCAGACUCCUACGGGAGGGAGCAGUUGGGAAUAUUUGACAAUGGGGGGAAGCCUGAUCCAGCCAUACCGCGUUGGUGAAGAAGGCCUUCGGGGUGGAAAGCCCUUUUUGUGGGAAAGAAAAGCAGCAGGUUAAUACCCCGCUGGUCUGACGGUACCCAAAAAAUAAGCACCGGCUAACUUCGUG
This 492-nucleotide ribosomal RNA is filed under the name uncultured bacterium. Its description in RNAcentral is "partial 16S ribosomal RNA". It matches the Rfam family "Bacterial small subunit ribosomal RNA", at positions 29 to 507 of the family's 1533-position model. The record is from RNAcentral.